AUACUAACCUGGCAGGAGAGAUACCGUGAUCAAGCAGGUGGUUUUCCCAGGGCGAGGCUCACCCAGUGCAUUUGGGGUGUGUUGACCCCUGUGAUUUACCCAAAUUCGGGAAACUCGACUGCAUAAUUUGUGGUAGUGGGGGACUGCGUUGGUGCUCUCCAA
This 162-nucleotide small nuclear RNA is filed under the name Peromyscus maniculatus bairdii (prairie deer mouse). RNAcentral describes it as "U1 spliceosomal RNA (ENSPEMG00000025550.1)". It matches the Rfam family "U1 spliceosomal RNA". Rfam says of the family: U1 is a small nuclear RNA (snRNA) component of the spliceosome (involved in pre-mRNA splicing). Its 5' end forms complementary base pairs with the 5' splice junction, thus defining the 5' donor site of an intron. The record is from RNAcentral. Lineage: Eukaryota; Metazoa; Chordata; Mammalia; Rodentia; Cricetidae.